GCGCCCAUAGCUCAGUGGAUAGAGUGUCUCCUUGCGGAGGAGGAAGUCGUAGGUUCGAAUCCUACUGGGCGCA
Molecule: transfer RNA, 73 nt
Filed under: Patescibacteria group bacterium
Lineage: Bacteria
Description: tRNA-Arg
Rfam family: tRNA
About the family: Transfer RNA (tRNA) molecules are approximately 80 nucleotides in length. Their secondary structure includes four short double-helical elements and three loops (D, anti-codon, and T loops).
Source: RNAcentral